This 253-nucleotide ribosomal RNA is filed under the name uncultured bacterium. Its description in RNAcentral is "partial 16S ribosomal RNA". It matches the Rfam family "Bacterial small subunit ribosomal RNA", at positions 524 to 776 of the family's 1533-position model. The record is from RNAcentral.
UACGUAGGGCGCAAGCGUUGUCCGGAAUCAUUGGGCGUAAAGAGCGUGUAGGCGGCCCGAUAAGUCCGCUGUGAAAGUCCAGGGCUCAACCCUGGAAUGCCAGUGGAAACUGUCGGGCUAGAGUCCGGAAGAGGCGAGUGGAAUUCCUGGUGUAGCGGUGAAAUGCGCAGAUAUCAGGAGGAACACCGAUGGCGAAGGCAGCUCGCUGGGACGGUACUGACGCUGAGACGCGAAAGCGUGGGGAGCAAACAGG